AGUGAACGCUGGCGGUAGGCCUAACACAUGCGAGUCGAACGGCAGCACAGUAAGAGCUUGCUCUUACGGGUGGCGAGUGGCGGACGGGUGAGGAAUACAUCGGAAUCUACUUUUUCGUGGGGGAUAACGUAGGGAAACUUACGCUAAUACCGCAUACGACCUACGGGUGAAAGCAGGGGAUCUUCGGACCCUGCGCGAUUGAAUGAGCCGAUGUCGGAUUAGCUAGUUGGCGGGGUAAAGGCCCACCAAGGCGACGAUCCGUAGCUGGUCUGAGAGGAUGAUCAGCCACACUGGAACUGAGACACGGUCCAGACUCCUACGGGAGGCAGCAGUGGGGAAUAUUGGACAAUGGGCGCAAGCCUGAUCCAGCCAUACCGCGUGGGUGAAGAAGGCCUUCGGGUUGUAAAGCCCUUUUGUCGGGAAAGAAAAGCAGCAGGUUAAUACCCCGCUGUUCUGACGGUACCCAAAGAAUAAGCACCGGCUAACUUCGUG
Molecule: ribosomal RNA, 492 nt
Filed under: uncultured bacterium
Lineage: Bacteria
Description: partial 16S ribosomal RNA
Rfam family: Bacterial small subunit ribosomal RNA
Source: RNAcentral